CCCCUCUUAAAAUGGCACCUGGAGAGUUUCUAGUACUUUACCAGUCUCAGCUAUGGGAGGGAAAGUCAAGCAGAGGCCUACCCCUUCCAUUCCUAGCUUCGGCAGUGGCUCGUGAGUGGAAGGCAAUCUGCUACAAGU
Tachyglossus aculeatus (Australian echidna) is the source of this 138-nucleotide small nucleolar RNA. NCBI's taxonomy places the organism in Eukaryota, Metazoa, Chordata, Mammalia, Monotremata, Tachyglossidae. The record is from RefSeq and is a predicted model, not a curated record.